RNAcentral lists this ribosomal RNA (338 nucleotides) under uncultured bacterium. Its description in RNAcentral is "partial 16S ribosomal RNA". It matches the Rfam family "Bacterial small subunit ribosomal RNA", at positions 338 to 690 of the family's 1533-position model. The record is from RNAcentral.
CCUACGGGUGGCAGCAGUGGGGAAUAUGGGGCAAUGGGCGCAAGCCUGACCCAGCAACGCCGCGGGAAGGAAGAAGGCUGUCGGGUUGUAAACUUCUUUUCUGAGGGACGAAGAAAGUGACGGUACCGCAGGAAUAAGCCACGGCUAACUACGGGCCAGCAGCCGCGGUAAGACGUAGGUGGCAAGCGUUAUCCGGAUUUAGGGGGGGUAAAGGGCGUGUAGGCGGGAAAGCAAGUCAGAUGUGAAAACUCAGGGCUCCACCCUGAGCCUGCAUUGGAAACGGUUUUUCUUGAGUGCUGGUGAGGCCAUCGGUCUUCCGUGUGUAGCGGUGAACUGCG